GGCCGACCAUGAAUCAGACAGAUCAACAUACCUGCCCCAGAUUGAACCAUGUUAUCCCUAUCUGUGUGAACAUCUCCAACCCAAUGGCACCUCGACAUGUGGCAAAAAUCCACAUGCUAGAAUUAAAUCCUGCGAUGUCGGUUCACAUUUUUGAUACAAUGCCUGACACUAGAUCCUCCUAUCGAUAUGAUAGCUCGAAAGUGACAAAAUGACUGUUCGACCGUACUCCAACAAAAGUAGUGUC
Molecule: long non-coding RNA, 244 nt
Filed under: Elaeis guineensis (African oil palm)
Lineage: Eukaryota; Viridiplantae; Streptophyta; Magnoliopsida; Arecales; Arecaceae
Description: long non-coding RNA (EGUI_LNC069352)
Source: RNAcentral